CUCGAAGAAUUUUUACUUCUGCUCCAGAGUCAAGACCAAACCAGCGCGUUGAGAUUUCCUCAACUAUCUUCAGCGCCCAAUCCAUAUCAAGAAAUGGAUUUACUUCCGUUGUAAUGCAGGCUAGAAUCUGUUGGUUUGAUAAAUAUGCUAGACGAGAGUUUAUGCUCUGGACAAACGUGGAGUUAUUCCAGAAGAUAUUGUGGCUUUGAAAUAUCUGACCCUUUUGAAGAUUGAUCAAAAUUUCUUCACGGGUACCUUGCCAGCAUUUAUUGGAAACUUAUCUCAAUUGCAGAGUCUGU
This is a long non-coding RNA of Juglans regia (Persian walnut), 299 nucleotides long. RefSeq lists it as uncharacterized. NCBI's taxonomy places the organism in Eukaryota, Viridiplantae, Streptophyta, Magnoliopsida, Fagales, Juglandaceae. The transcript is spliced from 3 exons. The record is from RefSeq and is a predicted model, not a curated record.